GGUCCAACAACAAUUAAAAAAAUAAAAAGGACUGGGGAUAUACUUCAGUGGUAGAGCACCCCUGAGUUCAAUUCUCAGUACAAAAGAAAAAAAAGGUGGAAACAUUAAACUUUAUGUCAUGGAUAUGUUACCACACACCCACACAAAAUGCUCCACAAUAAUAGUGCAAAGGCCCUUCUAUUGCGAUGAGUUGCAUGAACUUACCAUGAAUGCAGUCAUGUGAACCUUGGGCAUGUAUUACCCCACCUGCGCAGUUCUAUAGGACAAAGGCCAGCUGCUUCCUCUGUGCAGGCUUUUCCUUCCAUUCCACGCUAUCUGUCCUAAGAGUACCUCCUAAUAAAUCUACAUGCUAAACUUAAACGUUUCUCUCUUAAAACUUAGCUCAGUGGGGCUGGGAAUGUAGCUCAGUAGUAGAGUGCCUGCCUCUCUACAUGCAUGAGGCCCUGGGUUCAAUCCCCAGCAAUGCAAAAAAAAAUAAUAAAAUAAAAACUUUAAUUUUCUUCCUAUUCCAGGACUGGUCUAGGGAACUGAAGGAAUUCUUUAACCCCUCCUCUGAGGUUUGGGAAUGAUAAGUAGAACCUCAAGACAAAGUGCUUCCUACCGGGCCCUCUGCUCCAUUGAAUUUUGCUAAAACUUGGUCUCUGUCCCCUCCUUUCCCUGCUGUCAGGCCAUUCAGGUCAGCCCCUCCCUUGCCCCACCCAGACCCAGAACUCCAUCUUCCCUUCCCACAAGGCCUCUCAGAUAAGCUGCCGCGGAGAAACUGGCUGUGGUGAUAACAAUUCAUGGUCCUGUCACCUGCUCUUGAGCUGUAACCCCCAAAGCAGGCUGGAGAGGUCCCUGAGUUGAAGCUCUUACCAAACCCAGGACCUGAAGAAGUUCAUCUCACGGAACAACCAAUGGCCCAGAGAUGAGUGUUGGGGAGACGGAAAGGCUUUCUUCAGCGGCCAGAGAAUGGAGAAGAGGGAGCUUUGCUCACAAAUGGAGGGGUUGCAGAUAUAGAAU
RNAcentral lists this long non-coding RNA (1002 nucleotides) under Marmota monax (woodchuck). The stretch from base 394 to 468 matches the Rfam family "tRNA". Lineage: Eukaryota; Metazoa; Chordata; Mammalia; Rodentia; Sciuridae. The record is from RNAcentral.